GGCACCCCUAAGUCCAAAAUUAAUUUUAAUUUUAUUAUUUCCUAUUUGUUUUAUCACUUUCUUGCUCUUAAUAAACCAAAUGACUAUAUUCUCUUAACCUUUAUAUCCCUCUCCUGUAGCUUUCCUCUGGAAUGUAUAUAUUAUAUAUUUAAAUAAAUGAAUUUUAAAUCAUACUAGUCUGAAUAAUAAGUAAUUAUAGCUAGUUUAGGAGGGAUGUUAAAGUGAGACCGUUUCCCCAGGAAGUUAUCACUGUGGUGAGAGUUGGGGGAAAGAUAUGACAAUUCUAAUUCAUUUCUCGGUCUUAAAAAACAGUUUUCACUAUGGAAUGAUGUUGACAGAGGUGGGAAGUCAGUGAAAGUCUUGGAAUUUAGAAGAAUUUCAGUAUGUUACUAAUAAUGAUUAAAUUUUGAGAUCUUUAGGUUUUUUUGGACACGGAAAAUAGGGAAACCUGUACCUUUGGAUUCAUGAUGGAUAACAUAAGACUAGAGUUUUUAGUAAAGAAGCAUUACCAAAGCUGAAAAAAAAUACCUGGUUUUGAUACACAUCUGAAUUAUACUUCCAAAUGGUCCCAUUUAAAGUUUGUGGAUUUCUUCGUGGAGAAAGUCGCCUUUGGGUUGAGCUGCCGGUCGUUCACAAGGUUAUUUGAGUUCGCUCCCAAGCACAUCUGCAAUUCAAAAUGUCGCACCCGUUCCCCCAAACUAAGCCCUCCAACCCCAGUAACCCCAGAGUCUUCUUUGAUGUGGACAUUGGAGGGGAGCGAUUUGGUUGAAUUGUCUUAGAAUUGUUUGCAGAUACUGUACCCAAAACUGCAGAAAAUUUUCGUGCAUUGUGUACAGGAGAAAAAGGCAUUGGACCCACCACUGGGAAACCUCCAUUUCAAAGGAUGCCCUUUCCAUCGAAUUAUUAAGAGAUUUAUGAUUCAGGGUGGAGACUUCUCAAAUCAAAAUGGGACAGGUGGAGAAAGUAUUUAUGGUGAAAAAUUUGAAGAUGAAAAUUUCUAUUGUAAGCAUGAUCAGGAAGGUUUAUUGAGCAUGGCAAAUGCAGGCUGCAAUACAAAUGGUUCUCAGUUCUUUAUCACAACAGUCCCGACUCCUCACUUGGAUGGGAAACAUGUGGUAUUUGGCCAAGUAAUUAAAGGAAUGGGUGUGGCAAGGAUACUGGAAAAUGUAGAAGUGAAAGGUGAAAAACCUGCCAAAUUGUGCAUUAUUGCAGAAUGCGGAGAAUUGAAGGAAUGGGAUGAUUGGGGCAUAUUCCCAAAAGAUGGCUCUGGUGACAGUCAUCCAGACUUCCCUGAGGAUGCAGAUACAGAUUUAAAAGAUGUAAAUAAAAUUUUACUAAUAACAGAAGAUGUAAAAAAUAUUGGAAAUACUUUUUUCAAAUCUCAGAACUGGGAGAUGGCCAUUAAAAAUAUGCAAAAGUUUUAAGGUAUGUGGAAGGUUCAAAGGCUGUUAUUGAGAAAGCAGAUAGAUUGAAGCUGCAACCUAUAGCUUUAAGCUGUGUGCUGAAUAUGGGUGCUUGUAAACUGAAGAUGUCAAAUUGGCAGGGAGCAAUGGACAGUUGUUUGGAGGCUCUUGAAAUAGACCCAUCCAAUACCAAAGCAUUGUACCCUAGAGCUCAAGGACGGCAAGGAUUAAAAGAAUACGAUCAAGCAUUGGCUGAUCUUAAAGCUCAGGAGAUAGCGCCAGAAGAUAAAGCUAUCCAGGCAGAAUUGCUGAAAGUCAAACAAAAGAUAAAAGCACCGAAAGAUAAAGAGAAGGCAGCGUAUGCAAAAAUAUUUGCCUAGUAAGAAAUUCAGUUUUACUUAAAUAUGCGUUGAUUGUUAUAUAAAGGCAAUAAGAAAAUUUAAAGGUUUUUGUCGGUUAUAUAUGAUCCCUGAUGUGUUUCCUUUGAUACUCCAGUUUCCCAUUGUUUACAGUUCAGGAAUACUGAAAAGAGUUCACUCUUAAUAAAACAGUGUUACAAAAUAAAUAAAUAAAUAAAGUUUGUGGAUUGCCUUUCCCCCUUUUUUUCUUCUAAACCUCUUUGCUG
Molecule: RNA transcript, 2028 nt
Organism: Zalophus californianus (California sea lion)
Lineage: Eukaryota; Metazoa; Chordata; Mammalia; Carnivora; Otariidae
Gene name: peptidyl-prolyl cis-trans isomerase D-like
Exons: 1
Source: RefSeq, a predicted model, not a curated record